GGAUUAGAUACCCUGGUAGUCCACGCCCUAAACGAUGAGAACUAGUCGUUGGAAAGAUUUGCUUUUCAGUGACGCAGCUAACGUAUUAAGUUCUCCGCCUGGGGAGUACGGCCGCAAGGUUGAAACUCAAAGGAGUUGACGGGGGCCCGCACAAGCGGUGGAGCAUGUGGUUUAAUUCGAUGCAACGCGAAGAACCUUACCUGCUCUUGACAUCCUCGGAAUCCCCCAGAGAUGGGGGAGUGCCUUCGGGAACCGAGUGACAGGUGCUGCAUGGCCGUCGUCAGCUCGUGCUG
RNAcentral lists this ribosomal RNA (293 nucleotides) under uncultured bacterium. Its description in RNAcentral is "partial 16S ribosomal RNA". It matches the Rfam family "Bacterial small subunit ribosomal RNA", at positions 775 to 1067 of the family's 1533-position model. The record is from RNAcentral.